This 568-nucleotide ribosomal RNA is filed under the name uncultured bacterium. RNAcentral's name for it is "bacterial SSU rRNA". It matches the Rfam family "Bacterial small subunit ribosomal RNA", at positions 338 to 916 of the family's 1533-position model. The record is from RNAcentral.
CCUACGGGAGGCAGCAGUGGGGAAUUUUCCGCAAUGGGCGAAAGCCUGACGGAGCAAUACCGCGUGAGGGAAGAAAGCCUACUGGGUUGUAAACCUCUUUUUUCAGGGAGGAAAAAAAUGACGUGUACCUGAAGAAUAAGCAUCGGCUAACUCCGUGCCAGCAGCCGCGGUAAGACGGAGGAUGCAAGUGUUAUCCGGAAUUACUGGGCGUAAAGCGUCUGUAGGUGGUUUAAUAAGUCAACUGUUAAAUCUUGAGGCUUAACUUCAAAACAGCAGUCGAAACUAUUAGACUAGAGUAUAGUAGGGGUAAAGGGAAUUUCCAGUGGAGCGGUGAAAUGCGUAGAUAUUGGAAAGAACACCGAUGGCGAAAGCACUUUACUGGGCUAUUACUAACACUCAGAGAUGAAAGCUAGGGUAGCAAAUGGGAUUAGAUACCCCAGUAGUCCUAGCUGUAAACAAUGGAUACUAGAUGUUGAACAGAUCGACCUGUGCAGUAUUAAAGCUAACGCGUUAAGUAUCCCGCCUGGGAAGUAUGCUCGCAAGAGUGAAAACUCAAAUGAAUUGACGG